This 253-nucleotide ribosomal RNA is filed under the name uncultured bacterium. RNAcentral's name for it is "partial 16S ribosomal RNA". It matches the Rfam family "Bacterial small subunit ribosomal RNA", at positions 524 to 776 of the family's 1533-position model. The record is from RNAcentral.
UACGGAGGGUGCAAGCGUUAAUCGGAAUUACUGGGCGUAAAGCGCACGCAGGUGGCUGAGUCAGUCGAUUGUGAAAGCCCUGGGCUUAACCUGGGAAUUGCAGUCGAUACUACUCAGCUAGAGUAUGGGAGAGGGUAGUGGAAUUCCCGGUGUAGCGGUGAAAUGCGCAGAUAUCAGGAAGAACACCUAUGGCGAAGGCAGCUCUCUGGGACGGUACUGACGCUGAGACGCGAAAGCGUGGGGAGCGAACAGG